AAGGCAGCUUUCUGGAUCAUUACUGACACUGAGGAACGAAAGCAUGGGUAGCGAAGAGGAUUAGAUACCCUCGUAGUCCAUGCUGUAAACGAUGUGUGUUAGACGUUGGAAAUUUAUUUUCAGUGUCGCAGCGAAAGCGAUAAACACACCGCCUGGGGAGUACGACCGCAAGGUUAAAACUCAAAUGAAUUGACGGGGACCCGCACAAGUAGUGGAGCAUGUGGUUUAAUUCGAAGAUACGCGCAGAACCUUACCAACACUUGACAUGUUCGUCGCGACUUUAAGAGAUUAAAGUUUUCGGUUCGGCCGGACGAAACACAGGUGCUGCAUGGCUGUCGUCAGCUCGUGUCGUGAGAUGUUGGGUUAAGUCCCGCAACGAGCGCAACCCUCACUUUUAGUUGCCAUCAUUAAGUUGGGCACUCUGAAAGAACUGCCAGUGAUAAGCUGGAGGAAGGUGGGGAUGACGUCAAGUCCUCAUGGCCCUUACGUGUUGGGCUACACACGUGCUACAAUGGUAUCUACAACAGGAAGCGAAACAGCGAUGUUAAGCAAAUCCUUAAAAGAUACCUCAGUUCGGAUUGCACUCUGCAACUCGAGUGCAUGAAGCUGGAAUUACUAGUAAUCGUGGAUCAGCGUGCCACGGUGAAUGCGUUCCCGGGUCUUGUACACACCGCCCGUCACACCAUGGGAGUUGGUUCUACCUUAAGGCAAGGUUUAAUACCCUUGACCACGGUAUAGUCAGCGACUGGGGUGAAGUCGUAACAAGGUAGCCGUAGGGGAACCUGCGGCUG
RNAcentral lists this ribosomal RNA (791 nucleotides) under marine metagenome. RNAcentral describes it as "bacterial SSU rRNA". It matches the Rfam family "Bacterial small subunit ribosomal RNA", at positions 718 to 1520 of the family's 1533-position model. The record is from RNAcentral.